UUUCAUUCUGUGGAUGUAGUACGAUUCAUUGUGCGACUUGGUUUUGCAGAAAUAUCCGCCUCAACAUAAAGUGCUGGUCCAGGAUUUCUUCAACAUUGAGUUGGAUCCUCGAACAUUUCUCUCGAAAUAUUACUUGAACUGUGUUAUCAGAUGACAGCCAUGUCCGGUUCUACCGCGGCACUGCAAACGCAAAGUGCUCAGGUGUCGGCAGCUUCCGACUUGGGAACGGCAAGUGCUCAGACGUCGGAGGCAGUUAUAGGCCCGGAAGUUGCUCCCGCUCCUGCUCAAUGUCCUGAUGAAGUAAAUCUCGUCGAUGAAUGUGAGUGCGAAUAUGGUUAUCGCUACUUCUUCAGUGAGCAACUCUGUUAGAUAUCUUAUCGGCCUACUACAUCACGACAUACAGGGUAACGUCUCCGCCACCUGCAUGUUAACUAUCGUGUGCAAACAGUGGUUUGAAAAAGGAAGCGAAUACGAAGCGAACAACAGAGUUGGAUAAUCGAAUACGAAGAAAUAGAAGUGUAGAACCCUAGCGAAUAGGAAGCGAAUAGCUGCAAAAGGGACCGGUUUUCCCGCAUAGGCGGAGU
This is a long non-coding RNA of Ornithodoros turicata, 584 nucleotides long. RefSeq lists it as uncharacterized. The transcript is spliced from 6 exons. Lineage: Eukaryota; Metazoa; Arthropoda; Arachnida; Ixodida; Argasidae. The record is from RefSeq and is a predicted model, not a curated record.